AGCGAACGCUGGCGGCAGGCCUAACACAUGCAAGUCGAACGGAUCCUUCGGGAUUAGUGGCGCACGGGUGAGUAACACGUAGGUAACCUGCCCCCCAGUCUGGAACAACUAGAGGAAACUCUAGCUAAUGCCGGAUGAGACCACGAUCCUUCGGGGGUUGCGGCCAAAGAUGGCCUCUACUUGUAAGCUAUCGCUGAGGGAUGGGCCUGCGGGCCAUUAGCUUGUUGGUGAGGUAACGGCUCACCAAGGCUGUGAUGGCUAGCUGGUCUGAGAGGAUGACCAGCCACACUGGGACUGAGACACGGCCCAGACUCCUACGGGAGGCAGCAGUGGGGAAUAUUGCGCAAUGGGCGAAAGCCUGACGCAGCGACGCCGCGUGGGUGAUGAAGGCC
RNAcentral lists this ribosomal RNA (392 nucleotides) under uncultured bacterium. RNAcentral describes it as "bacterial SSU rRNA". It matches the Rfam family "Bacterial small subunit ribosomal RNA", at positions 29 to 416 of the family's 1533-position model. The record is from RNAcentral.